AGCUCCAAUAGCGUAUAUUAAAGCUGUUGCAGUUAAAAAGCUCGUAGUCGGAUUUCGGGCGGCGGCCAAUGGUUCGGUUCCGUGCCGAUACUGCUGGUCGCGGCCUCCACGCCGGUCGUCUUUCGGUGCUCUUAGUUGAGUGCCUUAAGUAGCCGGAGCGUUUACUUUGAAAAAAUUAGAGUGUUCAAGGCAGGCCAAAAGCCUGAAUGAUGGUGCAUGGAAUAAUGGAAUAGGAUCUCGGUUCUAUUUUGUUGGUCUUCGGAACUGGAGGUAAUGAUUAAUAGGGACGGACGGGGGCAUUCGUAUUGCGGCGUUAGAGGUGAAAUUCUUGGAUCGUCGCAAGACGGACUACUGCGAAAGCAUUUGCCAAGAAUGUUUUCAUUGAUCAAGAACGAAAGUA
RNAcentral lists this ribosomal RNA (400 nucleotides) under phytoplankton environmental sample. RNAcentral describes it as "partial small subunit ribosomal RNA". It matches the Rfam family "Eukaryotic small subunit ribosomal RNA", at positions 587 to 991 of the family's 1831-position model. The record is from RNAcentral.